UUUUCUUCAUAAGGUUCGUUUAGAGGUUACCUGCGAGAUGAAUAAGAGGAAAAUCUUAUCAGGAGCAGAGUACAGAAAGAUCUCAUUGAACAUGAAGAACAAUAGCCUAGUGCUGUAGCAAUCACAGGGGAAGAGGGGAGAAAGACUGGCCCAACUGGUGGAACAAGAGAAGCCUCCAAUUUAGUUGGGAGAUACCACAGAAGAGAUCUGGGGCCAGAAGAAGAGGCCAAACCAAAUCUCUUCAAAAAGAGCUGGAAUAUACUAAGAGACACAGGUUGUUCAGACCUCUGAAGCAAAUGCUGAAUGCCGCACAGGAAACAAAGGCCAAGAAAGAGACCACAAUGCCUUUAAACAAGAAUGAGCGAGAUUAUAUUCUUGAAUGGUGAAAGCAGGACGUAGUGAAAGCAGAUAUUAAAGAAAGGAGAAGUCCAAAAAACGAUGAGUAGUUGGAACUAAAAACGCUGAUCGGAAGAUAAAAAAAGAAAAAAUGGGCUGAACAAGAGAUCAAGAAGAAUGAGAUUUUAAAAUGUGGUGCUUUACCAGAUGAUUGUUUUAUAUCUGUUUUAAAUAGUAUGGACAAACCCCUCAUGUAAGAGACAUUAGUUCAUAGAAAGGCUGUGUAGCGGGAAAGGGGGGUGAAGGAUAAUGGUAUCUAUUAAUUCGUGUACGUAUAACACUAACUUACUAACAAACAGAUUUGACUAAUAAUCUUCUAAAAUUCAUUUGGUAAUAAAUACAACGAAACCACAGUUUUCUUUAAAAAGGAGCAAGUUGCCAGGAACAAUCAAGAAGAACUUAAGAAAUGCCAUUUCCUAAUGGAUUCCAUCACAAAAACAUGGGAAAAGUUUCUCAAACCCAAAAACUUGGUUUCUGCGGGAGGGACAUCCUGCUGUAGCACAUUUUGCUCUGGUUUUUCAAUAAAUUCCUCAUCACCAGGUCUCAACCAAUUCAAUUCUCACUCCUUUGUGGCAGCCACAAAACCAAGUUUCCGGAGUAGAGCAACUCCUUUCCAAGUAAGGAAUGCACAAUAAAACAGGAAACAAUACUUUCAAACCA
This is a long non-coding RNA of Anolis carolinensis (green anole), 1056 nucleotides long. RefSeq lists it as uncharacterized. The transcript is spliced from 2 exons. The record is from RefSeq and is a predicted model, not a curated record. NCBI's taxonomy places the organism in Eukaryota, Metazoa, Chordata, Lepidosauria, Squamata, Anolidae.